GUUUGACGUUAGCGACAGAAGAAGCACCGGCUACUCCGUGCCAGCAGCCGCGGUAAUACGGAGGGUGCGAGCGUUAAUCGGAAUUACUGGGCGUAAAGCGCAUGCAGGUGGUUUGUUAAGUCAGAUGUGAAAGCCCGGGGCUCAACCUCGGAAUUGCAUUUGAAACUGGCAGACUAGAGUACUGUAGAGGGGGGUAGAAUUUCAGGUGUAGCGGUGAAAUGCGUAGAGAUCUGAAGGAAUACCGGUGGCGAAGGCGGCCCCCUGGACAGAUACUGACACUCAGAUGCGAAAGCGUGGGGAGCAAACAGGAUUAGAUACCCUGGUAGUCCACGCCGUAAACGAUGUCUACUUGGAGGUUGUGGCCUUGAGCCGUGGCUUUCGGAGCUAACGCGUUAAGUAGACCGCCUGGGGAGUACGGUCGCAAGAUUAAAACUCAAAUGAAUUGACGGGGGCCCGCACAAGCGGUGGAGCAUGUGGUUUAAUUCGAUGCAACGCGAAGAACCUUACCUACUCUUGACAUCCAGAGAACUUUCCAGAGAUGGAUUGGUGCCUUCGGGAACUCUGAGACAGGUGCUGCAUGGCUGUCGUCAGCUCGUGUUGUGAAAUGUUGGGUUAAGUCCCGCAACGAGCGCAACCCUUAUCCUUGUUUGCCAGCGAGUAAUGUCGGGAACUCCAGGGAGACUGCCGGUGAUAAACCGGAGGAAGGUGGGGACGACGUCAAGUCAUCAUGGCCCUUACGAGUAGGGCUACACACGUGCUACAAUGGCGCAUACAGAGGGCAGCCAACUUGCGAAAGUGAGCGAAUCCCAAAAAGUGCGUCGUAGUCCGGAUUGGAGUCUGCAACUCGACUCCAUGAAGUCGGAAUCGCUAGUAAUCGUGGAUCAGAAUGCCACGGUGAAUACGUUCCCGGGCCUUGUACACACCGCCCGUCACACCAUGGGAGUGGGCUGCAAAAGAAGUAGGUAGUUUAACCUUCGGGGGGACGCUUACCACUUUGUGGUUCAUGACUGGGGUGAAGUCGUAACAAGGUAGCGCUAGGGGAACCUGGCGCUGGAUCACCUCCUUAAACGAUGAU
RNAcentral lists this ribosomal RNA (1075 nucleotides) under Vibrio parahaemolyticus. RNAcentral describes it as "bacterial SSU rRNA". It matches the Rfam family "Bacterial small subunit ribosomal RNA", at positions 467 to 1533 of the family's 1533-position model. The record is from RNAcentral. Lineage: Bacteria; Pseudomonadati; Pseudomonadota; Gammaproteobacteria; Vibrionales; Vibrionaceae.